This 450-nucleotide ribosomal RNA is filed under the name uncultured bacterium. Its description in RNAcentral is "partial 16S ribosomal RNA". It matches the Rfam family "Bacterial small subunit ribosomal RNA", at positions 354 to 796 of the family's 1533-position model. The record is from RNAcentral.
GUGGGGAAUAUUGGACAAUGGGCGCAAGCCUGAUCCAGCCAUACCGCGUGGGUGAAGAAGGCCUUCGGGUUGUAAAGCCCUUUUGUUGGGAAAGAAAUCCUGUCGGUUAAUACCUGGCGGGGAUGACGGUACCCAAAGAAUAAGCACCGGCUAACUUCGUGCCAGCAGCCGCGGUAAUACGAAGGGUGCAAGCGUUACUCGGAAUUACUGGGCGUAAAGCGUGUGUAGGUGGUGGUUUAAGUCCGUUGUGCAAUCCCUGGGCUCAACCUGGGAAUUGCAGUGGAUACUUGAUCACUAGAGUGUGGUAGAGGGAUGCGGAAUUUCUGGUGUAGCAGUGAAAUGCGUAGAGAUCAGAAGGAACAUCCGUGGCGAAGGCGGCAUCCUGGGCCAACACUGACACUGAGGCACGAAAGCGUGGGGAGCAAACAGGAUUAGAAACCCCUGUAGUCC